RNAcentral lists this ribosomal RNA (708 nucleotides) under Acinetobacter junii. Its description in RNAcentral is "bacterial SSU rRNA". It matches the Rfam family "Bacterial small subunit ribosomal RNA", at positions 73 to 776 of the family's 1533-position model. Lineage: Bacteria; Pseudomonadati; Pseudomonadota; Gammaproteobacteria; Moraxellales; Moraxellaceae. The record is from RNAcentral.
GAGGUGCUUGCACCUUAUCUUAGCGGCGGACGGGUGAGUAAUGCUUAGGAAUCUGCCUAUUAGUGGGGGACAACAUUCCGAAAGGAAUGCUAAUACCGCAUACGUCCUACGGGAGAAAGCAGGGGAUCUUCGGACCUUGCGCUAAUAGAUGAGCCUAAGUCGGAUUAGCUAGUUGGUGGGGUAAAGGCCUACCAAGGCGACGAUCUGUAGCGGGUCUGAGAGGAUGAUCCGCCACACUGGGACUGAGACACGGCCCAGACUCCUACGGGAGGCAGCAGUGGGGAAUAUUGGACAAUGGGGGGAACCCUGAUCCAGCCAUGCCGCGUGUGUGAAGAAGGCCUUAUGGUUGUAAAGCACUUUAAGCGAGGAGGAGGCUACUGAGACUAAUACUCUUGGAUAGUGGACGUUACUCGCAGAAUAAGCACCGGCUAACUCUGUGCCAGCAGCCGCGGUAAUACAGAGGGUGCGAGCGUUAAUCGGAUUUACUGGGCGUAAAGCGUGCGUAGGCGGCUUUUUAAGUCGGAUGUGAAAUCCCCGAGCUUAACUUGGGAAUUGCAUUCGAUACUGGGAAGCUAGAGUAUGGGAGAGGAUGGUAGAAUUCCAGGUGUAGCGGUGAAAUGCGUAGAGAUCUGGAGGAAUACCGAUGGCGAAGGCAGCCAUCUGGCCUAAUACUGACGCUGAGGUACGAAAGCAUGGGGAGCAAACAGA